GAGAAAGUCAGAUGCACAGUGAGACUUUCUCCAACAGCGUUCAGCAGUUCUGAAGCAUUUUUGGAGGUAUCGAGUGAGCUUGGUGUGCCAGGGUUGUUGUUGGGGGGGCCUGCAGCGUUUAAAUGUACAAGGUGCCAUAAUGUCUAGUUGAGAGGAGAGGGUGGAAUUGUAGGAGGUUGCAGAACUAGGACAGGUGAGGUUUGAGAUAGGUAAAAGGAGAGUUUGGAGAUUAGUGGAGAAAUGCUCUAGGUCAAGACAUUGGAGGUUUCUGUGAGAGUGAUGUUCAGACGGUGGUGUCAAUUGGGUCUUAGGUAUGCCAAUGUCAAAAGUCAGCAGAUGGUGGUCAGAUAGAGGAAAAGGAAUAUUGGAGAGAUUAGAGGCAGUACAGAGGUUGGUGAAGGCAAGAUCAAGAGUGUUUCCUGCUGUAUGGGUUGCUAAAUUGGAC
Pelobates cultripes (western spadefoot toad) is the source of this 445-nucleotide non-coding RNA. Lineage: Eukaryota; Metazoa; Chordata; Amphibia; Anura; Pelobatidae. The record is from the annotation of a GenBank genome assembly.